CAACCACAGACAAGGCUCUUUGGGAUGUGGACUGAGGCUGUGACCAGAACUAGAGCAAGAGUCUAGAGCAAGACAGACGGACAGGCAUCUCAUCUGUCUUGCCCGGCUGAGCACCCAGAACAGACGGUGACCCAGAGCAGGACCAGUGGAUGUUUGUUAAGUGAAGGAAGGAGAAGAGUCAUCAAGCAAAGAAGGAAGAGUAAGAGGAAAAGGUAUUUACCCAAGAGAAUGAAAGCCACCAAGUGACCAUCAGGAAUGUGCACGAAAAUGGUCAUCACAGCUAAAAACUGAAAACUACUCUAACAUCCAACUACUGAAGAGAGGAGAAUUAUUGAUGGCAUCUUCCUUCAAUGAAAUACUACACAGCAAUGAAAAAGAAGAAAUUCCCAAUACAGGCAACUGGGAUGCAUGGAUCUCACAAACAAUGCUGAAAGAAAGGGAGAGAGAAUGAGUAUAUACUAUGUGGUCCCACUUAAAUAAAGCUCAAGGAUGCAGAUGGAGAAUGGAGUGGAGAGUGCAGAGGAGAACCAGGACAACCAUUUGGGAGGCUUUUGUAACACCCUGGGUGAGAGAGGAUGAGCAAACCAACAGGAAACAGGUGCCAGGUGUAGGCUCAUCCUGCAUGCUGCAAGAGGUCAGAGGAACUCAGUGGUGUGGGCAGGUGGGGGAGGCUUUUAGGAGGAGAAAGA
Molecule: long non-coding RNA, 689 nt
Organism: Odocoileus virginianus texanus
Lineage: Eukaryota; Metazoa; Chordata; Mammalia; Artiodactyla; Cervidae
Source: RefSeq, a predicted model, not a curated record